This 2151-nucleotide ribosomal RNA is filed under the name Bacillota bacterium. RNAcentral's name for it is "partial 23S ribosomal RNA". It matches the Rfam family "Bacterial large subunit ribosomal RNA", at positions 1 to 1985 of the family's 2925-position model. The record is from RNAcentral. Lineage: Bacteria; Bacillati; Bacillota.
GGUCAAGCGAGAAAGGGCACACGGAGGAUGCCUAGGCGUAAGCGGGCGAAGAAGGACGCAGCGAGCGGCGAAACGCCCCGGGGAGCUGCAAGCAAGCAUCGAUCCGGGGGUAUCCGAAUGGGGGAACCCACCUCAGGCGAACCUGAGGAAUCCCAUAUUGAAUCCAUAGAUAUGGGAAGCGAGACCGGGGGAACUGAAACAUCUAAGUACCCCGAGGAAAAGAAAGAAACAUCGAUUCCCCAAGUAGCGGCGAGCGAACAGGGAAGAGCCCAAACCCUAUAUGUGAAAGGCCGUCACCGUUGCAUAUAGGGGGUUGAGGAGUGUCGAGCCUGAAGGCGGUAAGGCGAGGCGAGGCGAAAGGUAGCAGAAGCGGCUGGAAAGCCGGGUCACAGAGGGUGAAAGCCCCGUAUGCGAAACCCGGAAGCCCGCCUGACACAUCCAGAGUACCACGGGCCACGCCAAUCCCGUGGGAAGCAGGGAGGACCAUCUCCCAAGGCUAAAUACCGACUUACGACCGAUAGAGGACAAGUACCGUGAGGGAAAGGUGAAAAGCACCCCGGGAGGGGAGUGAAAGAGGACCUGAAACCGUGUGUCUACAAACGGAGGGAGCGCAAGCGACCUCGUACUUUUUGUAGAACGGACCGGCGAGUUACAGUAUCAAGCGAGGUUAAGGAGAAAAACUCCGGAGCCGAAGCGAAAGCGAGUCUGAACAGGGUGAAAAGUUUGAUACAGUAGACCCGAAACCGUGUGAUCUACCCAUGGCCAGGGUGAAGCGGGACUAACCUUCCGUGGAGGCCCGAACCGUGUUGACGUUGAAAAGUCAUGGGAUGAGCUGUGGGUAGGGGUGAAAUGCCAAUCGAACACGGAGAUAGCUGGUUCUCCCCGAAAUAGCUUUAGGGCUAGCCGAAGCAGGACCUUACCGGAGGUAGAGCACUGAAUGGGCUAGGGGCCGAAAAGGUUACCGAACCCUAUCAAACUCCGAAUGCCGGUAAGAAAUAACUUUGAGUCAGACUAUGGGGGAUAAGCUUCAUAGUCGAGAGGGAAACAGCCCAGACCGUCAGCUAAGGUCCCGAAGUAAACCUAAGUGGGAAAGGAUGUUGUACUACGAAGACAACCAGGAUGUUGGCUUAGAAGCAGCCAUACAUUCAAAGAGUGCGUAAUAGCUCACUGGUCGAGCGGUACUGCGCCGAAAAUGUAACGGGGCUAAAGGUUUACACCGAAGCUACGGACAGAAGCAAAAUCACUUAUGUGUUCAAGCAAAACAAAAACAGCCUUGCGAAAAGCUACGAAUAAAAAAAAUAAAUAAAAAGCUUUUCGCCAAAUAUUUUCAAGCUAAAGAUUCAAAAAAGCUUGAGCAUGUCAGUGAUUUUGCUUCUGUGGUAGGGGAGCGUUCCUAUUGGGCAGAAGUCAUACCGUAAGGCAUGGUGGACCGAUAGGAAGAGAGAAUGCCGGUAUAAGUAGCGAGAGGCAGGUGAGAAUCCUGCCCGCCGAAAGCCUAAGGAUUCCUGAGGAAGGUUCGUCCGCUCAGGGUAAGCCGGGGCCUAAGCCGAGGCAUGAAAUGCGUAGGCGAUGGACAACUGGUGGAAAUUCCAGUGCCACCUGCGACCGCACGAGCGAAGGGGUGACGCAGGAGGGUAAGCUGAGCGCACGGUUGGUAGAGUGCGUCCAAACUCAAAGGCGAGCCAGGGAGGCAAAACCCCCUGGCGAUGCUGAAGAGUGAUGGGGAGUGAAAACAAGUAACGAAGCAGCCGAACCCAAACUGCCAAGAAAAGCCUCUAGCGAGGUCAAAGGUGCCCGUACUGCAAACCGACACAGGUAGGUGAGGAGAGAAUCCUAAGGCGAACGGGAGAACCCUCGUUAAGGAACUCGGCAAACUGACCCCGUAACUUAGGGAGAAGGGGUGCCUGAGUAGCCGACGAAUAAAAUCGUCGGUGAAAAGGUCGCAGCGAAGAGGCCCAAGCGACUGUUUAGCAAAAACACAGGUCUCUGCUAAGGAGGAAUCCGACGUAUAGGGGCUGACGCCUGCCCGGUGCUGGAAGGUUAAGGGGAAGAGUUAUUCGAAAGGAGAAGCUCAGAACCGAAGCCCCAGUGAACGGCGGCCGUAACUAUAACGGUCCUAAGGUAGCGAAAUUCCUUGUCGGGUAAGUUCCG